GUCGGCUUAUAAACUAUCACGACGCCCAAAAAGUCGUGGAUUGGAUGUUGUGCCAGCUGGCGUGAUUUCCCCUGUGUUUUUAAUUUGUCUCGCCCCAUGGGAUAAAUUGACAUUUGGGGUGCCAGAUCUAUGGCUCCAUCCCAAUGUAUCCGGCUGCAGCCAUAUCUAAAUCUAAUGCAAUAGAUUGAAUUGCUGCGUUGGAUUAUGCUCGAGUCGUGGCUCAAUGUAUUGAAACACGCUUGUUGCCAUAAUCUAACGUUUCAAUUGAUUCUUUGUACAUUGGAUAGAAUAUAUAUAUAAAGAUAUUGGUUUUGUGGCUGAUGAGAGAUUUAUUAAUCUCUAUAUAUAUAUAGGGUAUUAAAUGAAUAAAUGGAUAAUAUAAAAUUCUAUGCCCUAUAUAUAUUAUUAUGACCCUGACCUCGGAUCAGACGUGAUUACCCGCUGAACUUAAGCAUAUCACUAAGCGGAGGAAAAGAAACUAACCAGGAUUCCCCCAGUAACGGCGAGUGAACGGGGAUUAGCCCAGCACCGAAGCCUGUGACCAAUUGGUUACUAGGCAAUGUGGUGUUUAGGUCAUCUCUUGGCAUUGUUGCUCCACCCUAAGUCCAGCAAUGAGUACGGCUUACUGGAAUGGCCCACAGAGGGUGAAAGGCCCGUGGG
This 660-nucleotide ribosomal RNA is filed under the name Urogonimus macrostomus. Its description in RNAcentral is "eukaryotic LSU rRNA". The stretch from base 415 to 660 matches the Rfam family "Eukaryotic large subunit ribosomal RNA", at positions 1 to 227 of the family's 3401-position model. Lineage: Eukaryota; Metazoa; Platyhelminthes; Trematoda; Diplostomida; Leucochloridiidae. The record is from RNAcentral.